UGAUGUGAGGGCGAUCUGGCUGUGACAUCUGUCACCCCACUGAUCACCAGGGUUGAUUCAGCUGCUCUGGCUGGCUAGGCAGGUGUCCCCAUCCUCCCUCACCUUCCUUCCUGAAGCUGUGCUGUUGGUGGAAGAGGACAGAUGGCCUUCCCCAAUAGAGACUGACUGGUCUUCGGGGGCGGGGGGAGGCAUACAAGCUGCGCUCCCCUGCUAGAACCUCCAAAUGAGCUCUCAAGACUUGUGAGAAAUAUGGUGGUUAUAGCUGGGAGGUGGGAGGGUAGGGAUACAGAACUUUGGUGGUGGGUAUGGUAUGGAACUAUACAUUGUAAUCUUACAAUCAU
This 341-nucleotide small RNA is filed under the name Erinaceus europaeus (western European hedgehog). Its description in RNAcentral is "7SK RNA (ENSEEUG00000021122.1)". The stretch from base 1 to 271 matches the Rfam family "7SK RNA". From Rfam's summary of the family: 7SK was discovered as an abundant small nuclear RNA in the mid-70s but a possible function has only recently been suggested. Two independent studies have found that 7SK RNA binds the CDK9/cyclin T complex (known as elongation factor P-TEFb). P-TEFb activates transcription by phosphorylating the C-terminal domain of RNA polymerase II. The record is from RNAcentral. Lineage: Eukaryota; Metazoa; Chordata; Mammalia; Eulipotyphla; Erinaceidae.